ACACCAUAAGUAAUCCACCUGGGGAGUACGACCGCAAGGUUGAAACUCAAAGGAAUUGACGGGGGCCCGCACAAGCAGUGGAGUAUGUGGUUUAAUUCGAAGCAACGCGAAGAACCUUACCAGGUCUUGACAUCCAACUAACGAAGCAGAGAUGCAUCAGGUGCCCUUCGGGGAAAGUUGAGACAGGUGGUGCAUGGUUGUCGUCAGCUCGUGUCGUGAGAUGUUGGGUUAAGUCCCGCAACGAGCGCAACCCUUAUCAUUAGUUGCUACGCAAGAGCACUCUAGUGAGACUGCCGUUGACAAAACGGAGGAAGGUGGGGAUGACGUCAAAUCAUCAUGCCCCUUAUGACCUGGGCUACACACGUACUACAAUGGCGAUUAACAGAGGGAAGCAAGACAGUGAUGUGGAGCAAAACCCCAAAAAUCGUCUCA
RNAcentral lists this ribosomal RNA (432 nucleotides) under uncultured bacterium. RNAcentral's name for it is "bacterial SSU rRNA". It matches the Rfam family "Bacterial small subunit ribosomal RNA", at positions 855 to 1290 of the family's 1533-position model. The record is from RNAcentral.